RNAcentral lists this non-coding RNA (46 nucleotides) under Trichobilharzia regenti. Lineage: Eukaryota; Metazoa; Platyhelminthes; Trematoda; Strigeidida; Schistosomatidae. The record is from RNAcentral.
GUACUGCUGAGGAGUCUCAAACGAGGACGGAACAGUUGUCCAGUAC